GGCGCCCCUUGCACCCGCCGACCCCCGCCACUUUUCCACGGCGUGCGGCCCCGACACCCAGCCUCAGCAAAGAAUUCAAGCCCUCUAGCCCACGUCCGGCGAACGCUCGGUCUGAGCUCACCGCCUCCGGUUAUUUUGAUCUAGGGUGACCCACAGAAAAUGAUCCCUACGAAUGGACUGAGAAAGUAGUUGAGCAGGAGUAGAGGCAAAGGCACUGAGACUUCAACAUAGACAAUCAAACUUGAACUGAUCUUCCUAUCUCAGCCUCCCCAGUGUAGGGUUACAUACUCUCCUUUUCGUUAAUGUUCAAUCAUGGAGCUUUCUUCCUUCAAGAAACAGAAGGUUUCCAAGGAGCCGCUAUAAAGUCGUUUUCCUGAGGACAUCUACAAAACUGCUCACUAAAAGGUGCUGAGUAGGGUAGGAGGAGAGGUGGGGGAGGGGAUAAUCGAAGCAGUCUGUUUGCGUGUGGGGAAAUGCCAGUGAAACCCAUUAUGUAUAAUUAAUAUGCAUUAAUCUGAGGUUGCAGAAGGAGGAUAGAGAGUGGGAGGUCAGCCUCUUUAAUUACAUAUAUAAUUAAUUACAUAAUUAAUUAUAUGGUGUGGUGGUGCAUGCCUUUAAUGCCAGCUUUCAGUAUACAGAGGCAGGAUUGGUCUACAUAGAAAGUUCCAGGCCAGCCAGGGUUAUUGUGGUGGGUAUUCAUUCUGCCAAUAACCUUGGGCUAUCUGGCCCUUUAAGAGGCAGUGCUUCUUAUCUGCCUAUGAUCCUCUUAUAAGGAAGGAGGAAGGGUGGUCGCUCUCUCUAAGAUGGUGAAGACCAGGUCAGGCGGCAUGAAGCAGUGUGUGAUUAGUCCCCAGCUUUUCAAGAACUCUGCAACUGGAUUUACCGUGUCCUGUAAUCGUGAGUGUAUUUCCCUCCCCCUUUCAUAUUUUAAUAAAUCCUUGAUACUACUUAAA
Long non-coding RNA from Arvicola amphibius (Eurasian water vole), 953 nucleotides. RefSeq lists it as uncharacterized. Lineage: Eukaryota; Metazoa; Chordata; Mammalia; Rodentia; Cricetidae. The transcript is spliced from 2 exons. The record is from RefSeq and is a predicted model, not a curated record.